CAGUAGCCGCGGGAAUACGUAGGCGGCAAGCGUUGUCCGGAAUUAUUGGGCGUAAAGGGCUCGCAGGCGGUUUCUUAAGUCUGAUGUGAAAGCCCCCGGCUCAACCGGGGAGGGUCAUUGGAAACUGGGAAACUUGAGUGCAGAAGAGGAGAGUGGAAUUCCACGUGUAGCGGUGAAAUGCGUAGAGAUGUGGAGGAACACCAGUGGCGAAGGCGACUCUCUGGUCUGUAACUGACGCUGAGGAGCGAAAGCGUGGGGAGCGAACAGGAUUAGAUACCCGAGUAGUCCCUGUCUCUUAUAC
This 301-nucleotide ribosomal RNA is filed under the name uncultured bacterium. Its description in RNAcentral is "partial 16S ribosomal RNA". It matches the Rfam family "Bacterial small subunit ribosomal RNA", at positions 509 to 807 of the family's 1533-position model. The record is from RNAcentral.